This 1323-nucleotide ribosomal RNA is filed under the name Clostridioides difficile. RNAcentral's name for it is "partial 23S ribosomal RNA". It matches the Rfam family "Bacterial large subunit ribosomal RNA", at positions 1372 to 2703 of the family's 2925-position model. Lineage: Bacteria; Bacillati; Bacillota; Clostridia; Peptostreptococcales; Peptostreptococcaceae. The record is from RNAcentral.
GCCCUGGGUUAGUCGGGACCUAAGCUGAGGCCGAAAGGCGUAGGUGAUGGACAACAGGUUGAUAUUCCUGUACUACCGAUAACCGUUUGAGAGAAGGGAUGACACAGUAGGAUAAGCUAAGCACACUGUUGGUUAUGUGUGCCCAAGCAUUGAGGCAGUCAAAGUAGGCAAAUCCGCUUUGAUAAUGCUGGGAUGUGAUGGGGAGCGAAAUUUAGUAGCGAAGUAGCUGAUUUCACACUGUCAAGAAAAGUCUCUAUCGAGGUUAAAGGUACCCGUACCGCAAACCGACACAGGUGGGUGAGGAGAGUAUCCUAAGGCCAGCGAGAGAACUGUUGUUAAGGAACUCGGCAAAAUGACCCCGUAACUUAGGGAUAAGGGGUGCCACCAUCAGGUGGCCGCAGAGAAUAGGCCCAAGCGACUGUUUACCAAAAACAUAGGUUUCUGCUAAGUCGCAAGACGAUGUAUAGGAGCUGACGCCUGCCCGGUGCUGGAAGGUUAAGGGGAUCUGUUAGAGUAAUCGAAGCAGUGAACUUAAGCCCCAGUAAACGGCGGCCGUAACUAUAACGGUCCUAAGGUAGCGAAAUUCCUUGUCGGGUAAGUUCCGACCCGCACGAAAGGCGUAACGAUUUGGGCACUGUCUCAACAACAGACUCGGUGAAAUUGUAAUUCCGGUGAAGAUGCCGGAUACCUGCGACAGGACGGAAAGACCCCAUGGAGCUUUACUGUAGCUUGACAUUGGGUCUUGGUACUACAUGUACAGGAUAGGUGGGAGGCUUUGAAACCAGGACGCCAGUUUUGGCGGAGCCAUCCUUGGGAUACCACCCUUGUAGUACUGGGACUCUAACCAUAGGCCAUGAAUCUGGUCUUGGGACACUGUCAGGUGGGCAGUUUGACUGGGGCGGUCGCCUCCCAAAAGGUAACGGAGGCGCUCAAAGGUUCUCUCAGUACGGUCGGAAAUCGUACGUAGAGUGUAAAGGCAAAAGAGAGCUUGAUUGCAAGACAUACAGGUCGAGCAAGGAUGAAAAUCGGACUUAGUGAUCCGGUGGUUCUGCGUGGAAGGGCCAUCGCUCAACGGAUAAAAGCUACCCUGGGGAUAACAGGCUUAUCUCCCCCAAGAGUCCACAUCGACGGGGAGGUUUGGCACCUCGAUGUCGGCUCAUCACAUCCUGGGGCUGUAGUAGGUCCCAAGGGUUGGGCUGUUCGCCCAUUAAAGUGGUACGCGAGCUGGGUUCAGAACGUCGUGAGACAGUUCGGUCCCUAUCCGUCGCAGGCGUAGGAAAUUUGAGAAGACCUGUCCUUAGUACGAGAGGACCGGGAUGGACG